CCUACGGGAGGCUGCAGUGGGGAAUAUUGGACAAUGGGCGAAAGCCUGAUCCAGCCAUGCCGCGGGUGUGAAGAAGGCCUUCGGGUUGUAAAGCACUUUCAGUGGGGAAGAAAGCCUUGGGGCUAAUACCCUCGAGGAAGGACAUCACCCACAGAAGAAGCACCGGCUAACUCCGUGCCAGCAGCCGCGGUAAUACGGAGGGUGCGAGCGUUAAUCGGAAUUACUGGGCGUAAAGCGCGCGUAGGCGGUCUGAUAAGCCGGUUGUGAAAGCCCCGGGCUCAACCUGGGAACGGCAUCCGGAACUGUCAGGCUAGAGUGCAGGAGAGGAAGGUAGAAUUCCCGGUGUAGCGGUGAAAUGCGUAGAGAGCGGGAGGAAUACCAGUGGCGAAGGCGGCCUUCUGGACUGACACUGACGCUGAGGUGCGAAAGCGUGGGUAGCAAACAGGAUUAGAUACCCGUGUAGUC
Molecule: ribosomal RNA, 465 nt
Filed under: Vreelandella stevensii
Lineage: Bacteria; Pseudomonadati; Pseudomonadota; Gammaproteobacteria; Oceanospirillales; Halomonadaceae
Description: partial 16S ribosomal RNA
Rfam family: Bacterial small subunit ribosomal RNA
Source: RNAcentral